UACAGAGGUCUCAAGCGUUGUUCGGAUUCAUUGGGCGUAAAGAGCUCGUAGGCGGCUUGGCAAGUCGGGUGUGAAAACUUCAGGCUCAACCUGGAGCGGCCACUCGAUACUGCCAUGGCUAGAGUCCGGUAGGGGACCACGGAAUUCCUGGUGUAGCGGUGAAAUGCGCAGAUAUCAGGAGGAACACCGGUGGCGAAGGCGGUGGUCUGGGCCGGAACUGACGCUGAGGAGCGAAAGCGUGGGGAGCAAACAGG
This 254-nucleotide ribosomal RNA is filed under the name uncultured bacterium. RNAcentral's name for it is "partial 16S ribosomal RNA". It matches the Rfam family "Bacterial small subunit ribosomal RNA", at positions 524 to 776 of the family's 1533-position model. The record is from RNAcentral.